GUUUUUUUUCUUACACUUGAAAUUCAUAACUCCUAAUGGGCAAUCCAGCUGAAUUAUAUUUCCAUAUGGUUAAAGAAAAAAUGACCAGUCAUUGAGAAAGAUAAAGACAUUUUCCAGUCAACCAUUAACAUCAGAACACAUACACCUUGUUUUAUUUGGCAAUUGGCCUCUGCUUUUUCAACUCCAACGCAAUGCUAACUUAAUAAUACAGAAGACAGUUCACUGACAGGGAGACCAUUCUGCCCCACCAGAACAGCGACACAAUUUAAAAUCGUUUCAAUUCUCAGUCAAGAAAGCCAGAAAUCCCUUUGGUCGUUGGAGGAAAUGGUUUCUGGAUCCUCCCUGGUAAAAUACAGGAAUUCACCCUCCCAUCAUGCAGCAGGUACGUCAGAGUUCAGCUUCUGUGGCAGUUUCCUCUGAGAACAUUUGCAAAGAGAGAUGCUCCCUGCGUACUCUCACAGUCUGGAGCAGAAAAGGGAUUGUGAUAAACUCCAGAAGAUGGGAUUCUUCAUAGUUGUCCUCAGUGUCUUUCCUCCUCUAAUUUGACAAAAUCAGGACUCACAUUUCAGGCUUCUUGCCUCCCCAAGCUGCAGCCACACCAGUAACUUUGUGCAAGCGCAGGUCUCAGUCACAGCCUUGAGCACGUGCAUGGUCUUGAAUGUGAUCACAGAUACAGACAGUUAACGAAUCAACACUCCUGCAUCAAUGGAUUCCUCUCUGGCUGGUAAAUAAAUCACAUUUGCUUUAUUUAAUUCUGUCUUCAAAAUUGUGCUCAAGACUUCCUUCCACCAUGAAGCUUGAAUUCAUCACUCACAUCCAAUUAUCCAAUAAAUUCAGCUCUUCACCAUUCCCAUUGUUCCCCAUUAUAACCUUUUUAGCCCUGAGAGUAUCCAUAGACCCCUUUAAAAAUGUGUGUGUGCACAUAUGUGUGCAUGCGUGCAUGCACAUGUGUGUGAGUGUGCAUAUGAGUGCAUGUGUGUGUGUGUGUGUGUUUCUGCUACCUCUAUUUGAAAACACAGGUAGCCACUGCACGGCCAUAUUAAUAUAUGUUGAUGGAUAAGUUUUAAAGCACAGAUAAUGCUCAUGUUUGCACAGGUGCAUACACUCACCAUCGCUGGAAGCUACCUAAGAACAAUUGUGAAGAUCUGAAAGCUGACAGACAGGUCAAUGAUUUUCACAGUCCAAGUUGAAGCAGAACAGCCAGGAGAGAGGAAGGGCUCUGGGUCACAGCUACCGGGAAAAUCCAGAAGCUUUUGGCAGCUGCCUUGCACCCUCCCAUCUUCAAGCUCUGGGCAGCGGUCGUUCCCUGGUGUCUGGAUCUGGGCACUGGCAUCAGAGUGAGAGGAAGCUUGAUACAGGCUCUUUGUCUCUAGUUUAACAAAGCACAGAGAUAGGACAUAAACUCAUGUCCACACGCUCCAGGAAAGCAUGCGUGUCCACGGCCGUUCUCAGAGAAAAUGAGAGAGCCCAGAGUCCUCAAGAAAACCUCUAAACACAUCAGUCAUCCGGCUCUCAGCAAUUGGAAUGUCCAGCGAUGCCGCAUGACACGUGGUUCCUGUCCUCAGGCAGUAGCAGGACAUGCAAAGUAGAAGUGCAUAGCAUGGAGCAGGGGGUGGAGGAAGAAAGCCUGGAUUCCGGCCGGAUCCUCCAGGGAACGGGCAGUGAAGCCAUCACAGGCGGUGGCUUUGGAACUGAACGCUGAGGGUGUAACUGUCUGACUCACGGAGGAUGGAGAAAGG
This 1739-nucleotide long non-coding RNA is filed under the name Equus caballus (horse). Its description in RNAcentral is "lncRNA (ENSECAG00000056028.1)". The record is from RNAcentral. Lineage: Eukaryota; Metazoa; Chordata; Mammalia; Perissodactyla; Equidae.